AUUGAACGCUGGCGGCAGGCCUAACACAUGCACGUCGAGCGGAGCGGCGGACGGGUGAGUAAUGCCUAGGAAUCUGCCUGGUAGUGGGGGAUAACGUCCGGAAACGGGCGCUAAUACCGCAUACUCUCAGAUGAGCCUAGGUCGGAUUAGCUAGUUGGUGGGGUAAAGGCCUACCAAGGCGACGAUCCGUAACUGGUCUGAGAGGAGGAUCAGUCAAACGGGAAAUGAGACACGGUACAGACUCCAACGGGAGGAAGCAGUGGGGAAUAUUGGACAAUGGGCGAAAGCCUGAUCCAGCCAGGCCGCGUGUGUGAAGAAGGUCUUCGGAUGGUAAAGCACUAUAAGUUGGGAGGCGUUACCAACAGAAUAAGCACCGGCUAACUUCGUGCCAGCAGCCGCGGUAAUUC
Molecule: ribosomal RNA, 407 nt
Filed under: uncultured bacterium
Lineage: Bacteria
Description: partial 16S ribosomal RNA
Rfam family: Bacterial small subunit ribosomal RNA
Source: RNAcentral